CCUACGGGUGGCAGCAGUCGAGAAUCAUUCACAAUGGGGGCAACCCUGAUGGUGCGACGCCGCGUGGGUGAAUGAAGGCCUUCGGAUUGUAAACUCCUGUCAUGUGGGAGCAAAUUAAAAAGAUAGUACCACAAGAGGAAGAGGCUGCUAACUCUGUGCCAGCAGCCGCGGUAAUACAGAGGUCUCAAGAGUUGUUCGGAAUCACGGGGCGUAAAGCGUGCGUAGGCUGUUUCGUAAGUCGGGGGUGAAAGGCGCGGGCUCAACCCGCGGACGGCAGAUGAUACUGGGAGACUAGAGUAAUGGAGGGGGAACUGGAAUUCGCGGUGUAGCAGUGAAAGGCGUAGAUAUCGAGAGGAACACUCGGGGCGAAGGCGGGUUCCUGGACAUUAACUGACGCUGAGGCACGAAGGCGAGGGGAGCGAAAGGGAUUAGAUACCCGAGUAGUC
RNAcentral lists this ribosomal RNA (446 nucleotides) under uncultured bacterium. Its description in RNAcentral is "partial 16S ribosomal RNA". It matches the Rfam family "Bacterial small subunit ribosomal RNA", at positions 338 to 795 of the family's 1533-position model. The record is from RNAcentral.